CCCCCCCCCAACUCUUAUUUUGUCACAAUGAUAUCAAGCGAUACCUUGUGUCUGGUUCUGCUGAACAGUACGAUAUGAUUUAAAUAUCCUGAAUCGCCCUCUAGAUGGCACUUAAAUGAGAAAAUGGGCUGAAGCCCUUAUUUAUGAACAAUCAAUGGACUGUGUAUAUAAAAACAAAUCCGGGGCUUAAAUAUUUAAUAAAGAGCCAAACCAACACAUCUUACUUUUGAGGAAUUUUCAUUUUGUCCCCCAGAACUGACAGGCGGCAAGGCGUGAUGGCAGAGCUGGUGGUGGGGAUGGUGUUGCUCAUAAUCCCAUAUCUCUGCAAACAUUGCAUUUUCAUUUUCAGAAUUUCGAGCUUGUGCUGUUGGAAGGAUCGCUAAACUUUGACUGUAAAGCAGUAAAAUACCAUGGCCUUGCCAAACCAAACGCCCCUGCCCGGAACACUCAUAACGUCUGCGGAAAGACCCGUCUCGGACACGGAGGAGUCGUACCUUCACAUCAGCAGCAUUGCGACAGCCCUCACGCAGGCAUCCUUGGACUCAGAUCCCGUGGAACUUGCUGCUAUGAUUUACGAGUUGUCCAAGAAGCAUUUCAACAGGAAGCAUUUCCGAGGCACAGCGGUCGGGCAAGUCUCAACGCAACACAGUGCAGAUGUAAUUAAAUCGACAAAAGUUGCUGGUGUAUCUCCACUACUGGACAAUGAAAGAGCAGUGACCACAUGUCCGCCUGAGUCACCUGUGGGACCUUUAGAGGGGGAUGAUGCUAAAACCCCUCAUUCUGCGAUUCAUCAUCAGCUGGAAGAGGGGCAGCGGCCAGCUGAAUGCGAUCGUGUAACUUCAGGUGUAACAUGCACAAUGUCCCGACCAACACAAGAGGACUCAAGUGCAGUUUCACAUGCCCAAAGUGAGUGUUCAUACUCUGGGCUUUUCAGCCAUAUUUCCUUUUUCAUCUCUCCCAGCAGUUGUACAAGUUUGUGAGCAAAACAAAAGCAACGACGACGCAGAGUUACUACCGACUAUGCGCACACACGGCAACACUUAUACAGUUCUACUUUACAGACUGUGCCAGCACACAUUUACUCAAAAGCAAAGGAAAGAAGCCACUCUCAUAGACAAGGGGGCAGAUGGGCUUGUAGGCCAAUAUGCGCGCGUGACCUGAAGGAGCGGCCAGGCCCGUAAGACCGGGGGGUCCUACCCGCGUCCUCGUGACGCGUUGGCGGACGAGCCGCAGAUGUGACCACGUGGCUGUGCCCCGACUCCGUGCUCCUUGGC
This 1274-nucleotide long non-coding RNA is filed under the name Eptatretus burgeri (inshore hagfish). RNAcentral describes it as "lncRNA (ENSEBUG00000017340.1)". The record is from RNAcentral. Lineage: Eukaryota; Metazoa; Chordata; Myxini; Myxiniformes; Myxinidae.